GACCAGUUAGUAGAGUGGUAAACAGCCUAGUCGCCUAGCUAGGAAGCGGCGGGUUCGACUCCCGCACUGGUCG
Molecule: transfer RNA, 73 nt
Filed under: Burkholderia phage BCSR5
Lineage: Duplodnaviria; Heunggongvirae; Uroviricota; Caudoviricetes
Description: tRNA-Ala
Rfam family: tRNA
About the family: Transfer RNA (tRNA) molecules are approximately 80 nucleotides in length. Their secondary structure includes four short double-helical elements and three loops (D, anti-codon, and T loops).
Source: RNAcentral